Gadus morhua (Atlantic cod) is the source of this 119-nucleotide ribosomal RNA. Lineage: Eukaryota; Metazoa; Chordata; Actinopteri; Gadiformes; Gadidae. The record is from Ensembl.
UGGUACGGCCAUACCACCCUGAAUACGCCCGAUCUCGUCGGAUCUCGGAAGCUAAGCAGGGUUGGGCCUGGUUAGUACUUGGAUGGGAGACCGCCUGUGAAUACCAGGUGCUGUAAGUG